Molecule: long non-coding RNA, 479 nt
Organism: Panicum virgatum (switchgrass)
Lineage: Eukaryota; Viridiplantae; Streptophyta; Magnoliopsida; Poales; Poaceae
Exons: 2
Source: RefSeq, a predicted model, not a curated record
GGCAGAGUGCACUUCCGCCUGUUGGCACUCCCUCACCACACUCACUCACUCUUGCAGGUGGAGAAGAAGAAGGGGAGAGGAAGAAGAAGCUCAGGAAGAGCACACACGGCAGUGGAGCUGCUUGAACCACUGAGCUGCAGCUACUCUCUCCUUUAUACACAACCAAGUCAAGGUGGAGAAGAAGAAGGGGAGAGGAAGAAGAAGCUCAGGAAGAGCACACACGGCAGUGGAGCUGCUUGAACCACUGAGCUGCAGCUACUCUCUCCUUUAUACACAACCAAGUCAAGGUGAGUCAUUUACAAGGUAUGGCCUUACAGUGCUUUGCAGCUUCUAACACUACUUGCUACUGCUGCUGCUACUACUUGCUACUGCUGCCAUGCUGCUACUAGCAGCUGCAACUAUGCUCACUAGUCUUUGCCGCCCAAAAUCAAGUGGCAAGCCACGGCAGGUCAAAGAGGUAGAGCUACUACUACUAUAAA